Long non-coding RNA from Gambusia affinis (western mosquitofish), 493 nucleotides. RefSeq lists it as uncharacterized. The record is from RefSeq and is a predicted model, not a curated record. NCBI's taxonomy places the organism in Eukaryota, Metazoa, Chordata, Actinopteri, Cyprinodontiformes, Poeciliidae. The transcript has 3 exons.
GUAUGAAUUCAGUAGGUCCGCCAGGCGAAGUAAACCUUCUUGCUGCUGCCCUUCUCAUCGUUUCUCCUGUUUAUUCAGCAUUAAUCAUGAUGGACAGCAGAGGCCGGAGCCGACGGAGGACCUCAGAGACGACGCUGGACUCGCUCUCCUCUCCUCAAGUGUUUGAGAUGACCGCUCAGUUCAGGCAGGCCGAGCUCAGCCCACAUAUCCGUCCUGCACUGAAGAGAGCAACAUGUUGGCUGCAGAGCGGCAGCAGAGAAAGCACCCAGAGGCAAACAGAAAACUUGGAAACUCCACACAGUCUUCCCUGCUGCUCCAGCACGAAGCCUUCAGUUCGAUACGUUAGAGUUCGACAAGAGAGUCGCUGCUUUGCUGCUUGUUUUAUUCACUGUGGACUAUCAACAAUUUCCAGAAGAUUCAAUCAAACAGUCUGGCUUUAAAAUGUACUAAAAAGUUGGAUUAUGGUUAUUUAAAUAAUCAGCUGUCAUUUUCA